RNAcentral lists this ribosomal RNA (793 nucleotides) under Oenococcus oeni. Its description in RNAcentral is "bacterial LSU rRNA". It matches the Rfam family "Bacterial large subunit ribosomal RNA", at positions 1 to 797 of the family's 2925-position model. Lineage: Bacteria; Bacillati; Bacillota; Bacilli; Lactobacillales; Lactobacillaceae. The record is from RNAcentral.
GAUAGGUUAAGUUAAUAAGGGCGCAUGGUGGAUGCCUUGGCACUAGAAGGCGAUGAAGGACGUGACUAACUACGAUAUGCCUCGGUUAGCUGUAAGUAAGCUUACCCGGGGGUUUCCGAAUGGGGCAACCCGAUCUUAAUGAUCAUCAUCUUUUUGAAUUCAUAGAUUAGAUGAAGCAAACGCUGUGAACUGAAACAUCUAAGUAGCAGUAGGAAAGUAAAGAAAUUUCGAUUCCGUCAGUAGCGGCGAGCGAACGCGGAAGAGCCCAAACCUGGAUGCUUGCAUCCAGGGGUUGUAGGACUGAUGUUGAGUUACAAAGGUAUAAGAUAGCAGAAACAGUUGGGAAGCUGUUCCAAAGAGGGUGACAGGCCCGUAUGCGAAAUCUUGUACUCUCUAAUCAGGAUCCUGAGUACGGCCCAGCACGUGAAAUUGGGUCGGAAUCUGGGAGGACCAUCUCCCAAGGCUAAAUACUAACUAGUGACCGAUAGCGAACAAGUACCGUGAGGGAAAGGUGAAAAGAACCCCGGAAGGGGAGUGAAAUAGUUCUUGAAACCGUGUGCUUACAAGAAGUUCGAGGCCGUUAAUGGCUGAGAGCGUGCUUUUUGUAGAAUGAACCGGAGAGUUACGAUUGCGUGCAAGGUUAAGGUGCAAAGACUGGAGCCGUAGCGAAAGCGAGUCUUAAUAGGGCGAAUCAGUACGUAGUUGUAGACCCGAAACCGAGUGACCUAUCCAUGGUCAGGUUGAAGGUGGGGUAAUACCUACUGGAGGACCGAACAAGUGGGUGUUAAAAAAC